Molecule: RNA transcript, 2458 nt
Organism: Bubalus bubalis (water buffalo)
Lineage: Eukaryota; Metazoa; Chordata; Mammalia; Artiodactyla; Bovidae
Gene: MOCS2
Gene name: molybdenum cofactor synthesis 2
Exons: 9
Source: RefSeq, a predicted model, not a curated record
GGAGGAGGCAGGUGUCCAGGAGAGUCCAGGAUCGGCUCUCCUGUACCUCGGCGCCUCGUCUGAGGAUAAAGGCACGCGUGGUCAGCCUUUUACCCGUUGAAUGACAGCCAUAGCUUUCGCCCACCAACUCGACCCAUCCGCGACCGAACACCAAACUCCAGGGAACCGCGGCGCAAACUCAGCUAGGUGGAAGUGUUGUAUUUUGCAAAAAGCGCUGAAAUAGCAGGAAUUCGCUCAGAGACCAUUUCUGUGCCGCAAGAAAUAAAAGCAUUGCAGCUGUGGAAUGAGAUAGAAACACGCCAUCCAGGAUUGGCUGAUGUCAGAAAUCAAGUGAUAUUUGCUGUUCGUCAAGAAUAUGUCGAGCUUGGAGAUCAGCUCCUCCUGCUUCAAUCAGGAGACGAAAUUGCCAUUAUCCCUCCCAUUAGUGGAGGGUAGUACUUUUGAGCCCCCUGGAACAGAUAUGAAUGAAGUUGAAGAGAAAUCUAAAGAUAUAAUAAAAUUCACACCUGAGAAACUUUCAGUAGAUGAAGUCUCACAGCUGGUGAUUUCUCCACUCUGUGGCGCAAUAUCCCUAUUUGUAGGGACUACAAGGAAUAAUUUCGAAGGGAAAAAAGUCAUUAGCUUAGAGUAUGAAGCGUAUCUACCAAUGGCAGAAAAUGAGAUAAGAAAAAUUUGUAGUGACAUUAGACAGAAAUGGCCAGUCAAACACAUAGCAGUGUUUCAUCGACUUGGCUUGGUUCCAGUGACAGAAGCAAGCGUUAUCAUUGCUGUGUCCUCAGCCCACAGGGCUGCAUCCCUUGAAGCUGUGAGCUAUGCCAUUGAUGCUUUAAAAGCCAGGGUGCCCAUAUGGAAAAAGGAAAUCUAUGAAGAAUCAUCAUCAUCUUGGAAAAGAAACAAAGAAUGCUUUUGGGCAACCAGUGAUUAAACCACUUAGGUUUUUAGAGCCCUAAAAUUUAAACUGGGCACAUAUUUCUUUCUAGAGAUAAGUUGUGCUUCAGAGUGGUGCUUCUCAAACUGUAGCAUACUACGCAAAAUGAAUCCCGGAACUGUGCAGACAGCCCUGCGCCUCCAUCACAGACACACACGCGGGCACGUGCCUGCUUUCCUGACUUCCGAGUCACAUUCUGGGAGGAUUGUCUAUUUGUAUUAUAAGAAACCCAGACAAUGGGUUUUUAAAAGUUGAAAGUGUCACUACUGAGCUCCACCCCAGUGUCCCCCAUUUUAUAACGAGGACGCUGAAGUUUCAGAGGCUGAGCGACUUGUCUGAAGCUUUAAGUAUGUAUUUUCUGACAGAAAAUAGUCCCCACAGCCUUUGCCUCUGCGCUUUCUCUCUCAGGCCCGCCUAGAGGGUGAACCUAGAAACUAACAGAGAAAAGAAGGUGCAGCGGAGGAAUGGAUGGUGUUCCGCAAGGUGGCCCAUUUACAUCAUAAGGACCUGGACCUUUGUUAAAAUACAGGUCAUCAGGCUUCAUCCCAAUUUGUUGACUAAAUAAGAUUAUCAGGAAUUGGGGCCUGAGACUCUCUGGUGAGCAAACUCCCAGGUUAAAGCCAUUCUUCUGGAAAUGUAAGUUCUCCAGAACCAAGCACAGCAGGUGCUUACUAGGUGGUUUCUAAGGUCUUGUAAUUUCCUGCAAAUUCCUGAGAUUAUUUAUAUUUUACCUUGUUUACCCUGCCUGAAAUAUCAACAAUUAGAAGUUCACUUGGGCUUAAUUUUUCUUACAUAUUUAGCCAACUGAAAACAGCUCCCUGAAGUUAAGGGGAUUAUACAGUAACUCACGCAAGUGCGGGAAGUGGAACGGAUGACUUCCUCCUCACACCUGGGGAAGAGCCCCUGCCCUGGGAGUGGAGGUUUGGACACGAGUCCCAGGAGGGUGGAAAACUCCGGACUCCUGGAGAGGAAGGUGGGCAGCUGCAGGCUUGCAGAAUAUGGAGCACCAGGACAUGGGAGAGGUUCAUUGUGGAAGCAGAAAGGAUUCCAAAGCAAUUACUCAAAUUUCAAAAAUUGACAAGGUGCCAGCCAGGUCAGCCAGUUUUCAUCCUAAAGGAGAAAGGAAAUGUCUUUCUUCUUCCCAGAGGGGACUCCAGCAGACAAGAUUUUACUAUAAAUGUUAUAGAUGCUAAACAAAAGUUAGUGCUGUGGCUUCUAAACCCUUUAGGCCCCUAACCCUCGGCCACUUAAGAGGAGAUUCCGUCUGCAGGAGGCUCCUACCAGUCAUCAAGCAUGUUUUGAUAAGCACAUCAUCACAAGAAACGGGACCCUGGGAAACAGCUGUGGGCUGACAACAGCAAGUUUUACCUCGUUUAUAAACAAAAUUAUCACUGAAAAUAUCCUCUGUGGCAACUUUGGACAAGCAGCAAAAGUUGACCUGUUUUUUUCCCCCAACAGUAUCAAAAUCCAAGUUAAUGAUGUAUCUACACCUACUACUUCCACUUGUUUAAAAACAGUCGUUUUAAAUAA